This 777-nucleotide ribosomal RNA is filed under the name uncultured Neocallimastigales. Its description in RNAcentral is "partial large subunit ribosomal RNA". It matches the Rfam family "Eukaryotic large subunit ribosomal RNA", at positions 22 to 635 of the family's 3401-position model. The record is from RNAcentral. Lineage: Eukaryota; Fungi; Neocallimastigomycota; Neocallimastigomycetes; Neocallimastigales.
CAUAGCGACUAUCGUAGGCAUAUCAAUAAGCGGAGGAAAAGAAACUAACAAGGAUUCCCUUAGUAACGGCGAGUGAAGCGGGAAGAGCUCAAAUUUGAAAUCUUCAAGGUUUACCUUGACGAAUUGUAGUUUAUAGAAGUGUUUUCUGUUAGUAGAGUUUGGUAAAAGUUCUUUGGAAUAGGACAUCAUAGAGGGUGAGAAUCCCGUAUUUGGUCCAUUAUUUCUAGCUUUGUGAUACACUUUCAAAGAGUCGGAUUGUUUGGGAAUGCAGUCCAAAAUGGGUGGUAAAUUUCAUCUAAAGCUAAAUAUUGGCGAGAGACCGAUAGCGAACAAGUACCGUGAGGGAAAGAUGAAAGGAACUUUGAAAAGAGAGUUAAACAGUACGUGAAAUUGUCAAAAGGGAAGCGUUUGACACCAGUGUUGUUUAGUUGAAAAUCAAUUCAAUAAUUUUUGAUUUUGAGUAGUAUUGACUUCAUCAGCUUGCUGCUUUCUUUUCAGAAAUUACUGAAUGCACUUUUCAGUUAACAAGUCAACAUCAAUUUCUUUUGUUGUAAAAGGGUAAGAGGAAGGUGGCUUACGCUUCGGCGUAAGUGUUUAUAGCCUUUUACCUCUGCAAUCGGAGAGAUUGAGGACAGCAGCGUAGACUCUUCGGGGUUAGAUACACUUGUGCUAAGCUAUAGCCUUGUAUAGACAACUUGUUGACUAUGCUCAGUCAUGUAGCUUACUCGCUUGUGCUAUUUUACCUACGCUUAGGAUGUUGAUAUGCAUGACUGAUAU